RNAcentral lists this ribosomal RNA (277 nucleotides) under uncultured bacterium. Its description in RNAcentral is "partial 16S ribosomal RNA". It matches the Rfam family "Bacterial small subunit ribosomal RNA", at positions 524 to 796 of the family's 1533-position model. The record is from RNAcentral.
UACGGAGGGGGCUAGCGUUGUUCGGAUUUACUGGGCGUAAAGCGCACGUAGGCGGUCUAUAAAGUUGGGGGGUGAAAAUCCCGGAGCUCAACUCCGGAACUGCCUCCAAAAACUGCUAGACUCGAGUUCGGAAGAGGUAAGUAGAAUUCCCAGUGUAGAGGUGAAAUUCGUAGAUAUUGGGAAGAAUACCAGUGGCGAAGGCGGCUUACUGGUCCGAUACUGACGCUGAGGUGCGAAAGCGUGGGGAGCAAACAGGAUUAGAUACCCCGCGUAGUCC